UACGGAGGAUGCGAGCGUUAUCCGGAUUUACUGGGUGUAAAGGGAGCGUAGACGGCAUGGCAAGUCUGAUGUGAAAGCCCGGGGCUCAACUCCGGGACUGCUUUUGAAACUGUUGAACUAGAUUGCAGGAGAGGUAAGUGGAAUUCCUAGUGUAGCGGUGAAAUGCGUAGAUAUUAGGAGGAACACCAGUGGCGAAGGCGGCUUACUGGACUGUAAAUGACGCUGAGGCUCGAAAGCAUGGGUAGCGAACAGG
RNAcentral lists this ribosomal RNA (253 nucleotides) under uncultured Coprococcus sp. RNAcentral describes it as "partial 16S ribosomal RNA". It matches the Rfam family "Bacterial small subunit ribosomal RNA", at positions 524 to 776 of the family's 1533-position model. Lineage: Bacteria; Bacillati; Bacillota; Clostridia; Lachnospirales; Lachnospiraceae. The record is from RNAcentral.